RNAcentral lists this ribosomal RNA (500 nucleotides) under uncultured Glomeromycotina. RNAcentral describes it as "partial small subunit ribosomal RNA". It matches the Rfam family "Eukaryotic small subunit ribosomal RNA", at positions 591 to 1092 of the family's 1831-position model. The record is from RNAcentral. Lineage: Eukaryota; Fungi; Glomeromycota.
CCAAUAGCGUAUAUUAAAGUUGUUGCAGUUAAAAAGCUCGUAGUUGAAUUUCGGGGUCAGCAGGUUGGUCGUGCCACUGGUAUUCACUGGCUUCGCUGAUUCCUCCCUCUUGUAGAACCGUAAUGCCAUUAAGUUGGUGUUGCGGGGAAACAGGACUGUUACUUUGAAAAAAUUAGAGUGUUUAAAGCAGGCUAACGCUUGAAUACAUUAGCAUGGAAUAAUGAAAUAGGACGAUCGAUCCUAUUUUGUUGGUUUCUAGGAUUGACGUAAUGAUUAAUAGGGAUAGUUGGGGGCAUUAGUAUUCAAUUGUCAGAGGUGAAAUUCUUGGAUUUAUUGAAGACUGACGACUGCGAAAGCAUUUGCCAAGGAUGUUUUCAUUAAUCAAGAACGAAAGUUAGGGGAUCGAAGACGAUCAGCUACCGUCGUAGUCUUAACCAUAAACUAUGCCGACUAGGGAUCGGAUGAUGUUAAUUUUUUAAUGACUCAUUCGGCGCCUUACG